Molecule: long non-coding RNA, 595 nt
Organism: Grus americana (Whooping crane)
Lineage: Eukaryota; Metazoa; Chordata; Aves; Gruiformes; Gruidae
Exons: 3
Source: RefSeq, a predicted model, not a curated record
CCGGAAGCGCGGCGGCCAGCGCAGCCUUAGGCGGGCGGCGGGGCCAGGGAGCGGCCUGCUCCUCUCCCGCAGCCCCCGGGAGCAGAGGCGGGUGCGCGGCAAAGCUUGGGUUCUUCUCGCCAGCCGCGGGAUGAGAAUAACGUUGAUGACGCACUCAUGUUUUAGUUGCUGCUAAGCAGUCAAGGACUUUUCAGCUUCUCAUAUUGGCCUGCCAACGAGAAUGCGGGGGACGCCCGAGAAGCUAGGAGGGGACACGGCCAGGACAGCUGACCCAAGCUGGCCAAAGGGAUAUUCCAUACCAUGUGACGUCAUGCUCCGCAUAUAACCGGGGAAGCUAGCCGGGAGGCAGUUUGGCUUGAGAACUAGCCGGGUAUCCGCUUCAGUUGUGUCCUGCAGCCCACUCCUUGGUUUUCACGGCGGCCUCCGCCUCUGCACAGCAGCCCAUCUCUCCAGGAGCCCGACAGACCGACCGUCCGUUCCCCGCCGGACUGCCGAGGUGUCCCAGGGGCAAGCCCCGAGCCCCGGCGUGACGUCACUCCUGGGACUCAGUCCUCAUGUGACUGAAUAAACGCUUGCCGUCUCCUUUGCCCUCCCA